This 253-nucleotide ribosomal RNA is filed under the name uncultured bacterium. RNAcentral's name for it is "partial 16S ribosomal RNA". It matches the Rfam family "Bacterial small subunit ribosomal RNA", at positions 524 to 776 of the family's 1533-position model. The record is from RNAcentral.
GACGGAGGGGGCUAGCGUUGUUCGGAAUUACUGGGCGUAAAGAGUGCGUAGGCGGUUUAGUAAGUUGGAAGUGAAAUCCCGAGGCUUAACCUCGGAACUGCUUUCAAAACUACUAAUCUAGAGUGUAGUAGGGGAUGAUGGAAGUCCUAGUGUAGAGGUGAAAUUCUUAGAUAUUAGGAGGAACACCGGUGGCGAAGGCGGUCAUCUAGGCUACAACUGACGCUGAUGCACGAAAGCGUGGGGAGCAAACAGG